This 325-nucleotide ribosomal RNA is filed under the name uncultured eukaryote. RNAcentral describes it as "partial 18S ribosomal RNA". It matches the Rfam family "Eukaryotic small subunit ribosomal RNA", at positions 1470 to 1796 of the family's 1831-position model. The record is from RNAcentral.
CCCUUAGAUGUUCUGGGCCGCACGCGCGCUACACUGACUGCUCCAACAAGUUACCUGGGCUGACAAGCAUCCGGGAAAUCCUGCAAAGGCAGUCGUGAUGGGGAUAGAUUCUUGUAAUUUUUGAUCUUCAACGAGGAAUUCCUAGUAAACGCAAGUCAUCAGCUUGCAUUGAUUACGUCCCUGCCCUUUGUACACACCGCCCGUCGCAUCUACCGAUUGAAUGGAGAGGCAAAAUCUUCGGACCGUGACGCUUGGGAGUCAAAUCUCGGGCUGUCGUGGGAAGUGGAUUAAACCUUUCUAUUUAGAGGAAGGUAAAGUCGUAACA